UACGAAGGGUGCAAGCGUCAAUCGGAAUUACUGGGCGUAAAGCGUGCGCAGGCGGUUUUGUAAGUCUGACGUGAAAUCCCCGGGCUCAACCUGGGAAUUGCGUUGGAGACUGCAAGGCUAGAAUCUGGCAGAGGGGGGUAGAAUUCCACGUGUAGCAGUGAAAUGCGUAGAGAUGUGGAGGAACACCGAUGGCGAAGGCAGCCCCCUGGGUCAAGAUUGACGCUCAUGCACGAAAGCGUGGGGAGCAAACAGG
This 253-nucleotide ribosomal RNA is filed under the name uncultured bacterium. RNAcentral's name for it is "partial 16S ribosomal RNA". It matches the Rfam family "Bacterial small subunit ribosomal RNA", at positions 524 to 776 of the family's 1533-position model. The record is from RNAcentral.